GACAUGCCACGUAUACGUCAAGAAAAGGAUUCUAGGGAACUGCCCCUUGUUUUUUCAGAAGAUCUCAGUCCACGUCCCGAGUGGUCACUAGUGCCCUUCCCAAGGAUAGAAAUGCAAAACUCGUGAAAAGCAGAACCUUGACCAAAAUGUGAACCCAGAAUUAAAAGAUCCACCGGCUACUGACUCAUUUGCUACUCACAGUACUUGCUCUCAGCCUUUGGAUAAAACUGGUGAUUUAGAACUUCGGAUAUGGAGGACCCAAACACCUGAGCCAAGACUCCUCUUCAGAAAGAGCCAAGACCCCACAAUGCUAGAUGGGACCCCAAGGACACCGAACAGUUACAACAAACCCACCAGAACUGCUUAAUACAGUUACUACACAAACGACCCCUGUUCCCAGCUAGGCUCUUUCCCAACCAAGACAAGAAUUGCAACCCCCAUUAAGGACCCUGCCCGACAACUCCCUUCUUCCGGGAAUGGUGCUAGGCCCCAGAAGUCGCUGAUAAAAAUUAACAUGCCAAACUCAA
Molecule: long non-coding RNA, 527 nt
Filed under: Homo sapiens (human)
Lineage: Eukaryota; Metazoa; Chordata; Mammalia; Primates; Hominidae
Description: HSALNT0363359
Source: RNAcentral